AGAGAGGGGCUACUAGGAUGAUCAGAGAAAUGGAGAACCUGCCUUACGCAAGGAGACUUAAGGGACCUGAAGGAAAGCGGAACGCGCAGGACACCUGGAAGAAAGAAGACUCUCACAGAGCUGUGGCAACCACACCAACAGAACCCCGCUGGGUAAGAAAGCUAACUAUUGCCUUACAACAAGCAGCAAAGUAGCUAGCUACCCACGAUCAGAAGCAUCGACAAUGCUCACUAGCUUCAGACAAUGCUCACUAGUGGCCAUCGCUCACAAAGCAGCUACUACUGCAGCAGCACCACAAGCCAUAGCAAUGGCUUCUGUAAGUAGCUAAUGGCCUUUCCAUCCUAGCCACGCCGCACAGUAGCACUGCAACCCACGCUCGCUAGCAUCGUUCCCAAGCCGCUCUUGCAGCUGCAGUAACAGCAGUCCACCCAGGGUUCCAAGGUUGUCCCUGGCAACAGCCACUUCUCCUACCCAGCCAGCAGGAGGCCACGGCAGCAGCCCCACAGCAGCUACCAACGGGCUGCAGUCUCUGCCACCACAGAGCAGCACUUACCUCAGCAGCAGCUUGCGGUGAACUCACCAGAGAACUUGCGCUCCCUAAAUUUACAAACGAUCCCUAAUUGAGACAGAGCAGAAGGACCUUGUAAGACGGUUCAGAGGGAUUUUUAAGAAGGCUUCUAGUCUACAUUUACGGAUAGAGUAUCAUCAAAGUAGUUGCUUGACUUCAUUGGCGGUCCUCUGUAAACUGUAUUUUUGAGUGUUUGAAAAAAUAUGUAUUGAUAACUUGGCUUUUUCCUUCAUUUACUACCAGAAAUGCUUAAACUUGCAACUGAUUGUCACCUUUUAAAGAAGGCACUGAUUAUUCACCAUGUGUAAAGAGACUGUGCUGCAAUGUGAUGUUUUGGGAAAUGUGGAUCCUUAACUACACUACAUACAUAAAUUGCAUAGAUACUCUGAGCAAUACAAUAAAGAAUAAAUGUUUGAAUUC
Long non-coding RNA from Trachemys scripta elegans, 988 nucleotides. RefSeq lists it as uncharacterized. The record is from RefSeq and is a predicted model, not a curated record. NCBI's taxonomy places the organism in Eukaryota, Metazoa, Chordata, Testudines, Emydidae. The transcript has 2 exons.